UACGUAGGGUGCAAGCGUUGUCCGGAAUUAUUGGGCGUAAAGAGCUCGUAGGCGGCCACGCACGUCCGUUGUGAAAUCGCCCGGCUCAACUGGGCGGGGUCAGCGGAUACGGUGUGGCUCGAGCAAGCUAGGGGGCAAUGGAAUUCCCGGUGUAGUGGUGGAAUGCGUAGAUAUCACUUGGAACGCCAAAGGUGAAGGCAGUCUGCUGGGGAUCUGCUGACGCUGAGGCACGAAAGCCAGGGGAGCAAACGGG
This 253-nucleotide ribosomal RNA is filed under the name uncultured bacterium. RNAcentral's name for it is "partial 16S ribosomal RNA". It matches the Rfam family "Bacterial small subunit ribosomal RNA", at positions 524 to 776 of the family's 1533-position model. The record is from RNAcentral.